Molecule: long non-coding RNA, 8284 nt
Filed under: Malus domestica (apple)
Lineage: Eukaryota; Viridiplantae; Streptophyta; Magnoliopsida; Rosales; Rosaceae
Description: long non-coding RNA (MDOM_LNC020102)
Source: RNAcentral
AACAUGAAACCUUCUCUGUUUCCGGGGUCGCCGAAGGAAAAUCGUACGUCAUCAUUUAGCUCUAUGGACUCGGAGACAUCGCUGAUGAAGGAAAAAUUUUGUCCUAGCUAAGAACAUGUGAGAAUAUUUGAACAUAUAUGCAAACAAUUAACACAUUAAAGUAGGCAUGCAUUCAAAAACAAUUCUGAAACCCAUGACUUUCAAAGCCUAGUGAAUGGUGAACCACAAGACUCUUUAACAACAUUAAAGAUAAAGAAGGUUUUAGAGAUUCAUUACCCUUGAAGAUCAUCCUUGUUUACACAAGGGAUUCACCCAAGUGGAGGGCCUUCAAGUCACCACCUAGCUCCUUGGAUCUUCCUUGUGAUUUUCUUCCUUUUGAUGCUCCUUUGCUCCUUGAGGAUAUGAGGAAAGGAUCUCCAAAACACCAAAGAUUUGGUGUCUCUAAGUCUCCACACCAAGGAUGAGGUGUGAAGAUAAAAUGGAUGACUUAGAGAAGAAAAGAUUGCUAACUAUAUCUUCCCUAUGUGGCGGGCCUCCUUGUAGAGAAAAAGAGAGAAAAUGUUUCUCUUCUUUGUCUCAAGAAAACCCUAAUGAGAAAAAACUAUAACGAUGCUUUUAUAUCUCUUUUCUUAGGUGAGUGGCAAACUUGCAAUUAAGCAAAACUUCACACUCCCCUCACUAUGGCCGGCCUCUUUUAAGUGAUUGGGCUUAUUGCCCAUUUUGUUUGAGUUGUCAUACAACUUAAACAUAAUGGGCCUUGUGGACCAAAACACUUUUGGGCCCCUAAACCCAAAACCAACUUAAAAGCCCAAUACGAACCUUUCGUAAAAUUAAUUAACUAAUUAAUAAAUCUUGACCAUUCUCAAUUAAACCAUUUAAUCGCGUAUCCAUCUCAUUUAUAUUUCUUCACUUUCACCCUUACUCGGUGUACGAUCCAUUAGGUUCCAAUUAGUUAGGCAGUGGGCGAUUGUUACUCUUAACGAUCGAUUGCGAAUUGAAACUAUAUUUCAAUUCUCCCGUUGAUUAUGAUUAGUGUUUGCUAAUCUUCAGGGCUUCCACAAGCCAUGAGUGACACCUAGCAGAAUGUCAUGGUUACCCAAGCUAAAUAGAAUUGGUUGGAGAACCUAUCCAAUUACAAUUACAAUGCAAUUCGGUCCUUCUCUAAUACAAUACUCUUAAUCACAUUGUUUGAGUGAUAGUUUGUAUCAUGUCUACUAUCCAAUGUGAUACUUCUCUAUAUGAUUCCAUUGAAUAUGAUUUGGAACAUACUUCCUAAGUCAUAUUCGUAUGCUUUGGCCAACGACUCCGGAAUCAUAUCUUAAAGUAUUCUCCUUCCACCAUGGAAGGUUAGAGAUCCCUUGUUGUGCAUUCAUAUGCCUACAUAACUAGAUAGCUUGACCGCAACAAUGUCGUGGACACUCUCGAUGGAAUGCCUUUGACAUGAUCAAAGAUCAAGGACCUAACCAUUAGACAUCUAUGAUGCCUCAGGUCAAAGCACUACUUUGCAUAUUGCAACUAACGAGUUCUUACAUGACAUGUAUGUUCGAACUCUCUUUUGAUCGUUGUUCAGUGUACUCGAUUACCCUUUCAAGUACCUAUGUGUUUGUCUUAGUGUCCAACACUAAAUGACUUGAGACUAGUCAUACUCACGCUUGAGUUAACAAAACACAUACUAACCUUAACGGAUUGUCAAUGCCCAAUUGGCAAUCCUAUGGCUAGGAACGUUUUAGGAAUGAACAUAAGAGAAAGGUCUCUUUAAUCUAACUUACUUAAAUCACUUCUCUCUUAGAUCAAAUACAUUCCUUGGAUUCCCUUAUUGCUUAAACACAUGAUACAAUAAAUAGUGAUUAACAAUAAGCUUUGCCCUUCAUUAAACAUAUAAUAGUUUAAUACAAUAAGUAUUCCAAAAGCUAUUACAUCAAAUGAGUGGCUUUGUGGGCAUACUUCCAACAAUCUCCCACUUGCACUCAAAGCCACCUUCCCAUGUAUCUAAUACCCAUCUUUUCCAUAUGGUGGUCAAGUUGGAUUUGAGAUAUUGGCUUUGUCAGUGGAUCUGCUACGUUAUCGGCUGAGGCAACCUUGAGGAUGUUGACUUUCCCCUCGGAAGCAUAUCUUCUAAUAAUAUUAAAGCGCCUGUCAAAAUGAUUGUUCUUUUGAUGAGCCAUGGGUUCCUUGGCUUGAGCUAUCGCCCCACUAUUAUCACAGUACAAAGUUACUAGUGAUGUAAUGGUUGGAACCACUCCAAGUUUAGUAAUGAACUUAUUCAUCCAGAACGCUUCUUUGCCGGCUUCAGCUGCAUCAACAUAUUCAGCCUCUGUCAUGGAAUCAGCAAUUACAUCUUGUUUCUUGCUUUUCCAGCUGACAGCCCCACCAUUUAGAGUGAAUACAUAUCCGGAGUUGGAACUUCUAUCAUCGACGUCAGAUUGGAAAUCUACGUCUGUAUAUAUGCUUCCACUCGCAACUCUGUUGCUCCUCCAUAAACGAGGAACAUGUCCUUAAUUCUUCUUAAGUACUUAAGGACCGUCUUGACAGCUGCCUAGUGUUCUGAUCCUGGGUUAGAUUGAUAUCGACUAGUAAUGCUCACAGCAUAUGCGAUAUCAGGCUUUGUGCAUAUCAUGGCAUACAUGAGACUUCCUAUGGCGGAAGCAGAAGGAAUAGCACUCAUUUGCCGUAUCUCUUCAGGAGUUUUAGGUCCCAUGGACUUAGAGAAAAGUGAAUUCCAUGUCUUACAGGUAGAAGACCUUUCUUAGAUUGUUCCAUCUGGAACCUAUUUAGCACCUUAUCUAUGUACAUAGAUUGGGAUAAUCCAAUUAAUUUUUUAGAUCUAUCACGAUAGAGCUUUAUCCCAAGUACAUAAGAUGCAUCUCCCAAAUCUUUCAUGUAGAAGGUUUUGGACAACCACACUUUUACAGAAGAAAGUACUGCAGUGUCAUUCCCGAAGUAAUAUGUCAUCUACAUAAAACACUAAGAAUACAACUGCAUCCCCAACGACUUUUUGAUAAACACAAUUGUCGUCUUCAUUUUGAGUAAAACCAAAUGUUUUGAUUUCAGUAUCGAAACGAAUGUUCCAGCUCCUAGAGGCUUGCUUAAGUCCAUAAAUGGACCUCUGAAGCUUGCAUACCUUAGCCUUUUCAUACUUGGACACGAAACCUUCGGGUUGAGUCAUAUAGAGCUCUUCUUCUGGGUAGCCGUUCAGAAAGGCCGUUUUCACGUCCAUUUGCCAUAUCUCAUAAUCAUGGUACGCAACUAUAGCAAGCAAAAUACGAAUGGACUUAAUCAUGGCUACAUGAGAAAAGGUUUCUUUAUAGUUAAUCGUUUCUCGUUGCCUGUAACCCUUAGCUACUAGUCUAACUUUAUAAGUCUCCACGUUCCCAUCAGUGCCUAUUUUCCCCUUGAAACCCAUUUGUUUCCAACAGGUACUAUACCUUCUGGAGGGUCUACAAGAGUCCAGACCUGAUUUUGAUACAUGGAAUCCAUUUCAGAUUUCAUGGCCUCUUGCCAUCUCUUUGAGUCAAUGUCAGACAUUGCUUCAGUGUAGUCCCUAGGGUCCUCCUUUGUGUCAUUGUCACCUAGAAGGUGCAAUUCCCCAAAGUCAUUAUCUAAGCCAUACCUCUUAGGUGGCUUGCUAACCCUUUCAGAUCUACGUGGAGCUAGGGAUUCAGGAACAAGGUUGUCAACUUGUCGAGUGCUUGUUUGUGGUUCAUCAUUAAUCUCAUUAAUUUCCAUCGUUCUACUUAUAGUUCCUUUGAGAACAAAUUCGUCCUCUGGAAACUUGGCAGUUCUGGCGACAAAAACUUUUUGGUCGUCAAGAUGGUAGAACUCAUAUCCCAUAGUUUCUCUAGGAUAUCCCACAAAAUAGCACCUAAUUGAUCUCGCUUCAAGCUUAGUAGCUUCAAGCUUCUUGACAUAUGCUUCACAAGCCCAAUCUUAAUGUGAUUAAGACUUGGCUUUCUUCCAUGCCAUAUCUCAUAGGGCGUCUGUGAAACUAAGUUGGAAGGUACUCUAUUAAGCAAGUAAGCUGUUGUAUAUAGAGCGUAUCCCCAAAAUGUUACUGGUAGAUCUGCGAAACUCAUCAUAGAACGAACCAUGUUCAUCAAGGUUCGAUUUCUCCUUUCAGAAACUCCAUUAAGUUGUGGAGUUCCCGGUGGAGUCCACUGUGAUAUUAUUCCACACUCUUUGAGAUAAUCUUGGAACUUGGUACUUAGAUACUCCUCCCCUCGAUCUGAUCUUAGGAUCUUUAUCUGUUUCCCAGUUUGCUUCUCAACUUCAUUCUUGAAUUCUUUGACCUUUCAAAGGAUUCUGACUUGUACUUCAUAAGAUACACAUAGCUAAACCGAGAGUGAUCGUCGGUGAAUGUGAUAUAGUAGGAGAAGCCUCCUCUCGACGUAGUAGACAUAGGUCCACAUACGUCAGUGUGGAUUAACCCUAGAAUUUCAGUGGCAUGCUCUCCUUUCCCAGUGAAUGGAGAUUUGGUCAUCUUCCCUUCUAAGCAACAUUCACAAGUACCCAUUUGGUCAUUACCCAAUGGGCGGAAAUAUCUGUCUUUCAACAUCUUGCGAAUCUUAUCAAGGUUCACAUGUCCAAGUUUAAGAUGCCAUAUCUUUUCUUGGUUAACUUCUUCUCUAGCCCUUUUGGGUUUUGAGGUAUUCCCGCUUUCAAUACAGUGCAUCCCACUACUUGUCUCUAGGUGAAAAAAUCCCUCUAUCAUAUUACCAUGAGAGAUAAUACGACCGUUCAAGUAUAAAGUGCAACUCAUUUUGUCAAACAAUAUUGAGUGCUCAUCUCGUAAAAGCUUAGAGAUAGAAAUCAAAUUCUUUAUACAUGAAGGAAAAUAUAAACAAUUUUUAAGUUCCAAGACUUCCCCAGAGCGCAGUUUAAGCAUGUAGGUGCCUAUUGCUUUAGCAGAGAUCUUAGUGCCGUUCCCAACUCGCACAAUCAUCUCCCCAUUGCGCAAUGUUCUGCUCCCUGUUAGUCCCUGCAACGAAUUCCAGAUAUGUUGACUAGCGCCUAAAUCAAAUAUCCAGGAAUGAGAGCUCAUUGUAAACGCACUCUCUAUGACAAAAAUAGUCCCUGUAACGAAUUGCAGAUAUGUUGACUAGCGCCUAAAUCAAAUAUCCAGGAAUUGGAGCUCAUUGUAAACGCACUCUCUAUGACAAAAAUAGUCCCUUCAAAAGUUCCUGUCAUAAGGCUCGCAAUGCUCACCCUGUAUUUCUUCUUCCAACGUUCAUCCUUUCCACAAUGAAAGCAUGUUCCUUUGGAUUUUAUUGCCUUCUUCUUAUGUAACCUUUUCCUUGUGAUUGCAGUCUCACUCCCACUAUCCUUUUUGAAACCUUGUUCAAACUUACAGCACAUGUCAAUCAUCUCGAUAAAAGUAUGAUUGAAUCUAUUCACUGUAUAGUUUACAAUAAACUUAGUGAAAUCAUCCGAGAGAGAUGCAAGGAAAAAGUCUUGGGCCAUUUUCCCAUCGAUGGAAGUUCCUAAACUUUCAAGAUCUUGAAAGAUCCUUUCCAUCUUUUGUCCAUGUUUUUGGACCGAUGCCCCCUUUGCCAUUUUGGCAUUCAAUAGAUUACAAACAUUUGAGAAUCAUACGUUACUAGUCUCAAUGUCAUGCAUCUUAUGCAAAUUAUCAACCAUGCCAGAAGAAGUGUCCAUGUGCUCAUGUAGCUUCUUAAGCUCCUCACUAAGUGAAGUGAGGAUUAAGCAUUUGUCUUGUAAGUCAUCCUCAUAGUGUCUUGCAUAAUUUUGACACUCCUCCUUUGAAGCUAGUUUCGUAGGAGGUACAUGAGGAGGGGAUUGCUUAAGCACAUACAAUAUGUCUUUCACCUUUGAGACAUUCUCAAUGUGGCGAUACCAAGCAAGGAAACGUUGGCCCCUAAGGCCCCUUUUGUCAAUUAUAAUGGGUGUAAUUUUAGACAUGUCGUUAACUACAUAACAUAACAGAAAUCGUAUUAGAUUGUUGAUUUUAAAACUACUUGAUUGGGUCUUAAAUCAAAUAGUACCACCCACUAUUUUUGGCAAAUUCCACAUCCCUCAAUAGAAUUCGAGAGUUAUGUUGAACUCUUAGCGGGGUAUGGGAGGCUCAUCAUGACCAAGCCCACCUCACGAUGAUACGAUGUUGGUUAGCAAAAAUAAUGAUGAGAGAAUAACACUUUAAUCAUUUACAACUCUUGUAAUUACCCAUCUAAUUUGGCCUCUAGAGAAUGAUGCCUCACAGUGAUAUGAUGUUGGCACCAUUGCCCUUAGUUAAGUUAUUCCCACCAUGCUAGUUCGUGUAAGGGUUCAAGAAUAGCCUCACAAUGAUAUGAUGUCGGCCAUCCUCGUUGCCUACCUCACCACAUCAUGUAUGUAUAUAUGGACUCCUCCUGAAUGUAAGCACAUACUUUGAACUUCCCCAUGAUAGGGUGAAGCCGGUGUAGGAGUCACAAACGAUUGGAGCCCACCAUGGUGGAAGGCCUACGAAGAGAUGUUCAAAGCAUCUCUCGCUUAUCAACUUAAUAUUCGUUUGUUGAGGGAGUAGUGUUGGGCUACAUCAAUUUUAUUUUAAUCUUAUUAAAAGAACUUGGGCCUAUCACAACCAUUGGUCCAAGUUAAUAUGAAUUAGUAGUAUAUAAUACUCCCACUAUUUCGAUGAAACAAGCGAGACUAUAUGGAACUACUAACGAAUGCAUUGCAUCCUCAUAUGGACUAUAUAGUUAUAUUAGGUCUUAGGAUGAUUAUGAACCGUUUGAUUUGAUCCAACACGAGCCUUGUGUUGGACCUUGGGUUUAAGGUAGAUAGUUGUUGAUUUUAGUUACGCGUUUAAUCUAAUUAAACCGUUAUUUCCUAUUGGGCAUUGGACCUAACUAUUCCAAUUUGCAUACAUAUAAACAAAAAGGAAUACAUGAAAUAAAGAGAAGGGCUUAUGCCCUUUUACAACAAAUUAGAAGGACUUAUGUCCUUUUACAACAAAUUUGAACUAAUCAAAUUACAUUCAAAUCUAAACUACUUAACCCAAACAUUCACAAUGUAAAGCGGUCAAUCACAUAACUCAAUUAUCGAGGCCUUCGGUUCAUAAUCACCAUUUUCUUAAUCAAUCAAAUUAACUAAGAAAGCAACUUAAACAAUUGGUUUUAGGAUUCAGAGAAUUGAUUUAAAUGGAACUAAAUGAAAUGAAAAUCCAAUUCUCUUUCAAGAGACAACCAUUUUGUUCCCAUCAUCUUUUGGGCCGAAAAACAAUGACCACAACAAUUGGGCCGUAAGGUUAAAACAUAAACUUUUGGGGUCACUUUGUAAAAACACAAGAGUCCACAACUUCAUGUAAUUACAACUAGACCCAAAAAUUUCAACAAUAUUAAAAACUUCAUUAAAGGAGCAAAACAAUUUGUCCUUUAGCAUUUUUGGGUCUUAACGUAAAAACCUAAACUUUUGGGUCAAAGUGCAAAUACACAAAAGUAUCAAAACUUUAUGUAAUUGCAUGAAAGCCCCAAAAGUACUCCCACUAAGGGGUGGCCAGUUUUGGUAGUGAAAAAGGAGGGGGGGGAAAGUUUUUUGGUGAAAAAUUCAAAAUUUGAAAGUGUUUGGUGCAAGUGGAUAGGUAGGUGAGGAAAAUGUUGAUUGGGAUGGGUUGUAAGAAAAUGUUUUGUCAAACAAUAAAGACAUAAAUCAUCCAUCACCAAUCAUCCAUCACCAAUCAUCCAUCACCAAUUAAUUAUAAACCAAAACUUUAUGAAAAACACCAAACAUUUUGAAUGAAAACUCCAAACCGUUUUGUUCUUGGUAAGAACAUCAAGAAUAUUGAAGAACACACAUGAAAACUCAUAAGAGCUCCAUGAAUGUUUUCACAGAAUAAAACUCAAAUUUUCACUACACAAAAGAGGGUUAACAUCCUAGGGUACUUAGGGGUUCCAAAAGUCACUUUAAAACUCUUUUAACAAGACAAACAUGAACCCAAAAAUCCACCCUUUGGAUUUGGCUGAAUUUCCCAACAUACAUGGCACCAAAUUUUAGUUCCAAUAUUCAUGCUUAAAUGAACUACAUCUACAACAUUUGAGAUGCUAAAUUUUCAAGCAAAAUUUAUAUUCAAAAGCAAGAACAAAGCUUGUAACAUUUACAACAUUUAAAUCACAAACCAUGAAAAACACAAAACCCAUAAGGAUUCACCAUAAACUAGACCUAGGCUCUUGAUACCACUUGAAGGAAAAAAUUUGUCCUACCUAAGAACAUGUGAGAAUAUUUGAACAUAUAUGCAAACUAUUAACACAUUAAAGUAGGCAUGCAUUAAAAAACAAUUCUAAAACCCAUGACU